AAGGCGCUAAGUUAACAUAAACUAUAUGUCUUCAAAACAUAAAAUUUACCGCUUUUGGGG
This 60-nucleotide transfer RNA is filed under the name Tyrophagus putrescentiae. Its description in RNAcentral is "tRNA-Trp". Lineage: Eukaryota; Metazoa; Arthropoda; Arachnida; Sarcoptiformes; Acaridae. The record is from RNAcentral.